Long non-coding RNA from Arabidopsis lyrata subsp. lyrata, 999 nucleotides. RefSeq lists it as uncharacterized. Lineage: Eukaryota; Viridiplantae; Streptophyta; Magnoliopsida; Brassicales; Brassicaceae. The transcript has 3 exons. The record is from RefSeq and is a predicted model, not a curated record.
AUCAAUUACUCAAGUAUAAAAAUUGUUCCUCCACGCAACUUCUUCAUCUACCAUUGAAUAUGUAAAGAAAAUUGUAGUUAUUAAACCAAAGUUUUUAACCGUCCCCAAUCCUUCAACAAUUCAUGUUUCAUCAUUAUCGUUUGUUCAAUCCAACCUUUCAUCAUCGCAUUGGCCAUCUUCUUUCUCUACUAAAAAGGUAUGAUUGUGAAUGAAAGGAAGAGAGAGUGUCUCAGAGAAAACGGAGAAUAACGUGAAUGAUCGGUUUCAUUCUAUACGAGAGUUUAGGGGCGACUCAAACAGAUUUAAAAAAUCUAGGGACCAUUUGCCAAACCUGCCUCGUAAACCAAUAAUAUUAUUCGAUACUUUUUUAAGUUCGCGGGAAUAUCCAUGGAAGGUUGACACGUGGAGAUUUGAUGACCGUUGCGGCUGGAUAGGAACUAUCUAAAGGAGGGAUGAAUGUGACGUGGCGAUGACGAGGUGGUCAUCUUUUUUAUUUUAUUUUAUGGGAAACGGUGAGACUUAUCCACACAUCGAACAUGGGACCCACCAUAAAUUUCUUCCAGCCGACAGUAUUUCCUCUUCCUGUCGAUUUUUUAUUUAAUUCUUUAUUGAGGAAAACUUUCUUCCAGCCGAAUAAUUUGUUUCAAAUUAUGGCAAAAGGUUUGUUUCACAUUUAAUUAUCAAAUGUCCUCCUCCUUACCAGUUACCAGUUUUGGAAGAUUUAUGUUUAUCUUCUUCUAGAUUCGGUUCAUUAUUUUAUGUUCUAAUUUUUUUGAAGAUUUUGUCAUUAUUACUUUUAUAGGUGGAAGUGUGGAACGCAAAAAACCUGAUACAAUAAUGACCGAUUAUGCCACUUCGGCAAGUUAUCAACGAAAAUCCACAGUAAAAAUAUGUAUACUGUUUUUAUUCUAAAAGUAAGGAAUAAACAAAUUAUACUUCAAGCUUAGUUUAUUUCAAACUUAAUGGAAAAAUUGAUAUGAAACUUCAUUGUAAUACAGA